This 331-nucleotide ribosomal RNA is filed under the name Babesia major. Its description in RNAcentral is "SSU rRNA". It matches the Rfam family "Eukaryotic small subunit ribosomal RNA", at positions 453 to 848 of the family's 1831-position model. The record is from RNAcentral. Lineage: Eukaryota; Apicomplexa; Aconoidasida; Piroplasmida; Babesiidae.
GACACAGGGAGGUAGUGACAAGAAAUAACAAUACAGGGCUAAUGUCUUGUAAUUGGAAUGAUGGCGACGUAAAAGCUCGCCAGAGUACCAAUUGGAGGGCAAGUCUGGUGCCAGCAGCCGCGGUAAUUCCAGCUCCAAUAGCGUAUAUUAAACUUGUUGCAGUUAAAAAGCUCGUAGUUGAACUUCAGCCGUUGCGCCGUCCGACUUUGGUUGGUGUGUCGCUGUGGCUUAUCCUUUUACUUUGAGAAAAUUAGAGUGUUUCAAGCAGACUUUUGUCUUGAAUACUUCAGCAUGGAAUAAUAGAGUAGGACCUAUGUUCUAUUUUGUUGGU